This 425-nucleotide ribosomal RNA is filed under the name uncultured bacterium. Its description in RNAcentral is "partial 16S ribosomal RNA". It matches the Rfam family "Bacterial small subunit ribosomal RNA", at positions 354 to 796 of the family's 1533-position model. The record is from RNAcentral.
GUGGGGAAUAUUGGACAAUGGGCGCAAGCCUGAUCCAGCCAUGCCGCGUGAGUGAUGAAGGCCUUAGGGUUGUAAAGCUCUUUCAGUGGGGACGAUAAUGACGGUACCCACAGAAGAAGCCCCGGCUAACUUCGUGCCAGCAGCCGCGGUAAUACGAAGGGGGCUAGCGUUGUUCGGAUUUACUGGGCGUAAAGCGCACGUAGGCGGAUCGUUAAGUCGGGGGUGAAAUCCUGGAGCUCAACUCCAGAACUGCCUUCGAUACUGGCGAUCUUGAGUCCGGAAGAGGUGAGUGGAACUCCUAGUGUAGAUGUGGAAUUCGUAGAUAUUAGGAAGAACACCAGUGGCGAAGGCGGCUCACUGGUCCGGUACUGACGCUGAGGUGCGAAAGCGUGGGGAGCAAACAGGAUUAGAUACCCGAGUAGUCC